ACUCCUCUCCCUCACGCCUCCAUCCAUCAGUCAGUGAGUCACUUUCCAUUUCCAUCUUUCAAUUUCUGCAUAUCUCUCACCCAUUUUAUCUCCAACCAACACGCUUCAAAAAUAAUACCUUCGCUUCCAUUUCUCUUCUCCCAUCGCGAGUAUGUAAGCUACUAGCGUUGUUUGACAGUUGCGAGUUGCGACGACCAAGCUUCGGUUAG
Non-coding RNA from Vicia faba (fava bean), 209 nucleotides. NCBI's taxonomy places the organism in Eukaryota, Viridiplantae, Streptophyta, Magnoliopsida, Fabales, Fabaceae. The record is from the annotation of a GenBank genome assembly.